Molecule: ribosomal RNA, 120 nt
Filed under: Glarea lozoyensis ATCC 20868
Lineage: Eukaryota; Fungi; Ascomycota; Leotiomycetes; Helotiales; Helotiaceae
Source: RNAcentral
ACAUACGACCAUAGACUGAAGAGAACAGGGCAUCCCGUCCGCUCUGCCAAACUCAAGCUUCAGAUCGGUAGAUUAGUAGUUGGGUGGGUGACCACCAGCGAAUACCUACUGUUGUAUGUU